Molecule: ribosomal RNA, 261 nt
Filed under: uncultured archaeon
Lineage: Archaea
Description: partial 16S ribosomal RNA
Rfam family: Archaeal small subunit ribosomal RNA
Source: RNAcentral
UAGCCGUAAACGAUACUCGCUAGGUGUCGGCCACGGUGCGACCGUUGUCGGUGCCGUAGGGAAGCCGUGAAGCGAGCCACCUGGGAAGUACGGCCGCAAGGCUGAAACUUAAAGGAAUUGGCGGGGGAGCACAACAACGGGUGGAGCUUGCGGUUUAAUUGGAUUCAACGCCGGACAACUCACCAGGAGCGACGGUUACAUGAAGGCCAGGCUGAUGACCUUGCCUGAUUUUCCGAGAGGAGGUGCAUGGCGUGUGACUGU